UGGACGAAAGUCUGAUGGAGCAACGCCGCGUGAGCGAAGAAGGCCUUCGGGUCGUAAAGCUCUGUUGUUAGGGAAGAACAAGUAUCGGAGUAACUGCCGGUACCUUGACGGUACCUAACCAGAAAGCCACGGCUAACUACGUGCCAGCAGCCGCGGUAAUACGUAGGUGGCAAGCGUUGUCCGGAAUUAUUGGGCGUAAAGCGCGCGCAGGCGGUCCUUUAAGUCUGAUGUGAAAGCCCACGGCUCAACCGUGGAGGGUCAUUGGAAACUGGGGGACUUGAGUGCAGAAGAGGAAAGCGGAAUUCCACGUGUAGCGGUGAAAUGCGUAGAGAUGUGGAGGAACACCAGUGGCGAAGGCGGCUUUCUGGUCUGUAACUGACGCUGAGGCGCGAAAGCGUGGGGAGCAAACAGGAUUAGAUACCCUGGUAGUCCACGCCGUAAACGAUGAGUGCUAAGUGUUAGGGGGUUUCCGCCCCUUAGUGCUGCAGCUAACGCAUUAAGCACUCCGCCUGGGGAGUACG
This 521-nucleotide ribosomal RNA is filed under the name uncultured bacterium. RNAcentral's name for it is "bacterial SSU rRNA". It matches the Rfam family "Bacterial small subunit ribosomal RNA", at positions 372 to 884 of the family's 1533-position model. The record is from RNAcentral.